UACGAAGGGGGCUAGCGUUGCUCGGAAUCACUGGGCGUAAAGGGUGCGUAGGCGGGUCUUUUAAGUCGGGGGUGAAAUCCUGGAGCUCAACUCCAGAACUGCCUUCGAUACUGGCGAUCUUGAGUCCGGAAGAGGUGAGUGGAACUCCUAGUGUAGAGGUGGAAUUCGUAGAUAUUAGGAAGAACACCAGUGGCGAAGGCGGCUCACUGGUCCGGUACUGACGCUGAGGUGCGAAAGCGUGGGGAGCAAACAGG
This 254-nucleotide ribosomal RNA is filed under the name uncultured bacterium. Its description in RNAcentral is "partial 16S ribosomal RNA". It matches the Rfam family "Bacterial small subunit ribosomal RNA", at positions 524 to 776 of the family's 1533-position model. The record is from RNAcentral.